This 68-nucleotide transfer RNA is filed under the name Typhlonectes natans (Rio Cauca caecilian). RNAcentral's name for it is "tRNA-His". It matches the Rfam family "tRNA". From Rfam's summary of the family: Transfer RNA (tRNA) molecules are approximately 80 nucleotides in length. Their secondary structure includes four short double-helical elements and three loops (D, anti-codon, and T loops). The record is from RNAcentral. Lineage: Eukaryota; Metazoa; Chordata; Amphibia; Gymnophiona; Typhlonectidae.
GCAAAUAUAGUUUAACUAAAACCCUAGAUUGUGAUUCUAGUAACAAAGACUAACCUCUUUUAUUUGCC